This 254-nucleotide ribosomal RNA is filed under the name uncultured bacterium. Its description in RNAcentral is "partial 16S ribosomal RNA". It matches the Rfam family "Bacterial small subunit ribosomal RNA", at positions 524 to 776 of the family's 1533-position model. The record is from RNAcentral.
UACGGGGGGAGCAAGCGUUGUUCGGAUUUACUGGGCGUAAAGGGCGCGUAGGCGGUCGUGACAAGUCACUUGUGAAAUCUCCGGGCUUAACUCGGAACGGUCAAGUGAUACUGUCGGACUAGAGUACAGAAGGGGCAACUGGAAUUCUCGGUGUAGCGGUGAAAUGCGCAGAUAUCAGGAGGAACACCAAUGGCGAAGGCAGCACUCUGGGACGUGACUGACGCUGAGGAGCGAAAGCGUGGGUAGCAAACAGG